This 867-nucleotide ribosomal RNA is filed under the name Bacillus sp. MOLA 451. RNAcentral's name for it is "bacterial SSU rRNA". It matches the Rfam family "Bacterial small subunit ribosomal RNA", at positions 28 to 875 of the family's 1533-position model. Lineage: Bacteria; Bacillati; Bacillota; Bacilli; Caryophanales; Bacillaceae. The record is from RNAcentral.
GACGAACGCUGGCGGCGUGCCUAAUACAUGCAAUUCGAGCGGACCGACGGGAGCUUGCUCCCUUAGGUCAGCGGCGGACGGGUGAGUAACACGUGGGUAACCUGCCUGUAAGACUGGGAUAACUCCGGGAAACCGGGGCUAAUACCGGAUGCUUGAUUGAACCGCAUGGUUCAAUCAUAAAAGGUGGCUUUUAGCUACCACUUACAGAUGGACCCGCGGCGCAUUAGCUAGUUGGUGAGGUAACGGCUCACCAAGGCGACGAUGCGUAGCCGACCUGAGAGGGUGAUCGGCCACACUGGGACUGAGACACGGCCCAGACUCCUACGGGAGGCAGCAGUAGGGAAUCUUCCGCAAUGGACGAAAGUCUGACGGAGCAACGCCGCGUGAGUGAUGAAGGUUUUCGGAUCGUAAAACUCUGUUGUUAGGGAAGAACAAGUACCGUUCGAAUAGGGCGGUACCUUGACGGUACCUAACCAGAAAGCCACGGCUAACUACGUGCCAGCAGCCGCGGUAAUACGUAGGUGGCAAGCGUUGUCCGGAAUUAUUGGGCGUAAAGCGCGCGCAGGCGGUUUCUUAAGUCUGAUGUGAAAGCCCCCGGCUCAACCGGGGAGGGUCAUUGGAAACUGGGGAACUUGAGUGCAGAAGAGGAGAGUGGAAUUCCACGUGUAGCGGUGAAAUGCGUAGAGAUGUGGAGGAACACCAGUGGCGAAGGCGACUCUCUGGUCUGUAACUGACGCUGAGGCGCGAAAGCGUGGGGAGCGAACAGGAUUAGAUACCCUGGUAGUCCACGCCGUAAACGAUGAGUGCUAAGUGUUAGAGGGUUUCCGCCCUUUAGUGCUGCAGCAAACGCAUUAAGCACUCCGCCUG